This 497-nucleotide ribosomal RNA is filed under the name uncultured bacterium. RNAcentral's name for it is "partial 16S ribosomal RNA". It matches the Rfam family "Bacterial small subunit ribosomal RNA", at positions 28 to 507 of the family's 1533-position model. The record is from RNAcentral.
GAUGAACGCUGGCGGCGUGCCUAAUACAUGCAAGUCGAGCGAACAGACGAGGAUCUUGCUCCUCUGACGUUAGCGGCGGACGGGUGAGUAAAACGUGGAUAACCUACCUAUAAGACUGGGAUAACUUCGGGAAACCGGAGCUAAUACCGGAUAAUAUAUUGAACCGCAUGGUUCAAUAGUGAAAGACGGUUUUGCUGUCACUUAUAGAUGGAUCCGCGCCGCAUUAGCUAGUUGGUAAGGUAACGGCUUACCAAGGCGACGAUGCGUAGCCGACCUGAGAGGGUGAUCGGCCACACUGGAGCUGGGACGCGGUCAAGACGCCUACGGGAGGCAGCAGUAGGGAAUCUUCCGCAAUGGGCGAGAGCCUGACGGAGCAACGCCGCGUGAGUGAUGAAGGUCUUCGGAUCGUAAAACUGUGUUAUUAGGGAAGAACAAAUGUGUAAGUAACUAUGCACGUCUUGACGGUACCUAAUCAGAAAGCCACGGCUAACUACGUG